RNAcentral lists this long non-coding RNA (1691 nucleotides) under Triticum aestivum (bread wheat). RNAcentral's name for it is "long non-coding RNA (TAES_LNC001741)". The record is from RNAcentral. Lineage: Eukaryota; Viridiplantae; Streptophyta; Magnoliopsida; Poales; Poaceae.
UUUUAAACUAUGUAGUGGUAUUGCAUCAUAGGCAUAUUAAGCAGGGUUCAUUACACACUUGAUUGAACGAGUCACACAUUCUUUUUAAACUAUGUAGUGGUAUUGCAUCAUAGGCAUAUUAAGCAGGGUUCAUUACACAAUUGAUUGAACGAGUCACACAUGCACCUUGGUUAUUACAGCAUUGAUAAAGAGUAGUGAAAUCAUCUCCACAAAAAGAAAGGGGGAAAACAGUGAUCGUGGAUGGAGUGGCUAAUCGUCAUCUCGAUCUCAAUGCAUCCACUGUUCCAGAUGCUGGGACAAUCUUCGUGGUCGUCGCCGCCGUCGGUAACCACUGUAUUUUUUGAGCCUCACCUCACAAUUUGAGGGCAAAAUUCAGAAACAAAGAGAGGAAGUGGAUCGAGAGGACGGGAAGGAAGAAAAGCAUACCUGGCAGCAGCGGAUCCCACACCAGUGCUCUUCCAGGAUCCACUUGACACUGCUUCCCUGGCCCUGCUACGAGGAGGCAACAAAAUCAAGUUCAGUGUUCCUAUGGAACCUACAAUUGAUCAGAUCAGUAUAAUCGUGAGCAUCUAUAUGCAAGAGAGAGAACAUAAUUUGGUUCAUCAUGACCCACUUGCUGACCCGUUGCUAGAAAGCCAAGUAAAAUGACUUCAUUACGUGUGAUCUAGCUCUGUACUAAUAAACUAUGGAAGUGUUGGAAAGCUAAACAAAAUCCCAAAACGAUCCUCAUUAUUAAGCAUGGAUGAUUAGGGCUAAGUAACUUUUCGAUCAAUAGGGCAUGAUACAAAAAGUAAUGUAAUUAACAUGAAGACUCGCUUCAAAAUCAUCGAGAUGCUUUGUAGCAUCAAUGGAGAUGUUUGCCACUAUUGUAUUUGAAGCUUUCCUGAACCAGUUAAGUAUUCAACUCCGAGCUGAUCCUGGAUAAGAAGUUCAGGGAAAAAGAUACCAUCAUAAAUAUUUAGUAACUUGACUUGAAUAAAUCCUUCCUUCGUCAUUAAUUAAUCUAGUUAAUGCAUACAAUACACAGGUAGGUGAACUGUUGAUUGCUGAAAGUGCAUUGCACAUAUCUCCAAAUCAGCACUAUAAAUAGUACUGUUAUUAAAUUAGCACAACUAAAAAUAUAUUAAAUAAUAUGCAUGAAAAUGCUCAUGGAUUAAUUUAUCUAGCUUCUAUUGUCAAGAUAAUAGCUCUGCUCUCUUUAGUGGUGAAGUUUUUUCAUGAUACACGAGAUGAACAUCGAAAUAAAGAAACUGAAUUGAGAUCUUAUUUGGUCUGGCAUCCAGGUAAAAGGUGAACGCCAUACACCAACAACCAUGAACAUAAACGUAAAUAGAAGCAACAACAAUAAAAAAUCCUGAUAUUACCUACUGCCCCAACAAUUUAUCCUCAUGUUGGAUCCAUAACAGGGAGGAGAGACGAGAGGCAAGUUGUACCUGAGGCGCGCAUGCGACCAAGGGAACGCACGAACGAAUUGAUGAAGAACCCAAGGCUCACACGACGCCUCUGCUGCUCCUGCAGCACGCAUCCAUUUCAACAUCAUUCUUCACGAUGUCAAAGACGAGGGAGAGGCGGCUGCUUGGCCAACGACCAGCCACAACACCUUCACCAACCCGNNNNNNNNNNGCCAUACACCAACAACCAUGAACAUAAACGUAAAUAGAAGCAACAACAAUAAAAAAUCCUGAUAUUAC